This 497-nucleotide ribosomal RNA is filed under the name uncultured bacterium. Its description in RNAcentral is "partial 16S ribosomal RNA". It matches the Rfam family "Bacterial small subunit ribosomal RNA", at positions 28 to 507 of the family's 1533-position model. The record is from RNAcentral.
GAUGAACGCUGGCGGCGUGCCUAAUACAUGCAAGUCGAGCGGACGCACGAGAAGCUUGUGCCCCUACUGUUGGCGGGGGGCGGGCGAGUAACAAGUGGAUCAGAUACCUAUAUGACUGGGGUGAUAUCGGGAAAACGGAGCUGAUAAUAGAUCAUACUUUCAACCGGAUGAAGCAGAAGAGAAUGACGCCUUUGGCGACUGAAUUAGACGGAUCCGGACUGGAUUAGCUAGUUGGUAAGGUCACGGCCUACCAAGGAUACGAUGCAUAGCCGACCUGAGAGGGUGAUCGGCCACACUGGAACUGGGACACGGUCCAGACUCCUACGGGAGGCAGCAGUGGGGAAUCUUCCGCAAUGGGCGAAAGCCUGACGCAGCAAUGCCGCGUGAGUGAUGAAGGUCUUCGGGUCGUAAAGCUCUGUUAUUGGGAAAGAACAGAUGCGUGUGUAUCUGUGGACAUCUUGACGGUACCUAAACAGUAAGCAACGGCUAACUACGUG